CAUGAAGUAGCAAUACUUUGAUGGCGACCGGCAAACGGGUGCGGAACACGUACACAACCUUCCUUCGAGUGGGGAAUAGCCCAGAGAAAUUUGGAUUAAUACCCCGUAACAUAACGAUGUGGCAUCACAUUGUUAUCAUAGCUUCGGCGCUUAAAGAUGGGUGUGCGUAUGAUUAGAUAGUUGGCGAGGUAACGGCUCACCAAGUCUACGAUCAUUAGCUGAUGUGAGAGCAUGAUCAGCCACACGGGCACUGAGACACGGGCCCGACUCCUACGGGAGGCAGCAGUAAGGAAUAUUGGUCAAUGGACGAAAGUCUGAACCAGCCAUGCCGCGUGAAGGAUUAAGGUCCUCUGGAUUGUAAACUUCUUUUAUAUGGGACGAAAAAAGGUCUUUCUAGAUCCCUUGACGGUACCAUAUGAAUAAGCACCGGCUAACUCCGUGCCAGCAGCCGCGGUAAUACGGAGGGUGCAAGCGUUAUCCGGAUUCACUGGGUUUAAAGGGUGCGUAGGCGGGUAGGUAAGUCAGUGGUGAAAUCCUGGAGCUUAACUCCAGAACUGCCAUUGAUACUAUCUAUCUUGAAUAUUGUGGAGGUAAGCGGAAUAUGUCAUGUAGCGGUGAAAUGCUUAGAUAUGACAUAGAACACCCAUUGCGAAGGCAGCUUACUACGCAUAUAUUGACGCUGAGGCACGAAAGCGUGGGGAUCAAACAGGAUUAGAUACCCUGGUAGUCCACGCCCUAAACUAUGGAUACUCGACAUAUGCGAUACACUGUAUGUGUCUGAGCGAAAGCAUUAAGUAUCCCACCUGGGAAGUACGUUCGCAAGAAUGAAACUCAAAGGAAUUGGCGGGGGUCCGCACAAGCGGUGGAGUAUGUGGUUUAAUUCGAUGAUACGCGAGGAACCUUACCUGGGCUAGAAUGCU
Molecule: ribosomal RNA, 920 nt
Filed under: uncultured bacterium
Lineage: Bacteria
Description: bacterial SSU rRNA
Rfam family: Bacterial small subunit ribosomal RNA
Source: RNAcentral